GACAGAGGGUGCAAGCGUUAAUCGGAAUUAUUGGGCGUAAAGCGUACGUAGGCGGAUUAGUAAGUUGGAUGUGAAAUCCCUGGGCUUAACCUGGGAAUUGCAUUCAAUACUGCUAGUCUAGAGUACAGUAGAGGGAAGUGGAAUUUCCAGUGUAGCGGUGAAAUGCGUAGAUAUUGGAAAGAACAUCAGUGGCGAAGGCGACUUCCUGGACUGAUACUGACGCUGAUGCACGAAAGCGUGGGGAGCAAACAGG
Molecule: ribosomal RNA, 253 nt
Filed under: uncultured bacterium
Lineage: Bacteria
Description: partial 16S ribosomal RNA
Rfam family: Bacterial small subunit ribosomal RNA
Source: RNAcentral